UACGAAGGAUGCAAGCGUUAUCCGGAUUUAUUGGGUUUAAAGGGUGCGUAGGCGGACUUAUAAGUCAGUGGUGAAAUCUCGUUGCUUAACAACGAACGUGCCAUUGAUACUGUAGGUCUUGAGUACAGAUGCCGUUGGCGGAAUGUGUCAUGUAGCGGUGAAAUGCAUAGAUAUCAGGAGGAACACCGGUGGCGAAGGCGGGUCUCUGGGCCGAUACUGACACUGAGGAGCGAAAGCGUGGGGAGCGAACAGG
Molecule: ribosomal RNA, 253 nt
Filed under: uncultured bacterium
Lineage: Bacteria
Description: partial 16S ribosomal RNA
Rfam family: Bacterial small subunit ribosomal RNA
Source: RNAcentral